GACGAACGCUGGCGGCGUGCUAACACAUGCAAGUCGAACGGAACUGUUUUGAAAGAUUUCUUCGGAAUGAAUUUGAUUUAGUUUAGUGGCGGACGGGUGAGUAACGCGUGAGUAACCUGCCUUCAAGGGGGGGAUAACAUUCUGAAAAGAAUGCUAAUACCGCAUGACAUAUCGGAAUCACAUGAUUUUGAUAUCAAAGAUUUUAUCGCUUGAAGAUGGACUCGCGUCCGAUUAGUUAGUUGGUGAGGUAACGGCUCACCAAGACCGCGAUCGGUAGCCGGACUGAGAGGUUGAACGGCCACAUUGAGACUGAGACACGGCCCAGACUCCUACGGGAGGCAGCAGUGGGGGAUAUUGCGCAAUGGGGGCAACCCUGACGCAGCAACGCCGCGUGAAGGAUGAAGGUUUUCGGAUUGUAAACUUCUUUUAUUAAGGACGAAAAUUGACGGUACUUAAUGAAUAAGCUCCGGCUAACUACGUGCCAGCAGCCGCGGUAAUACGUAGGGAGCAAGCGUUGUCCGGAUUUACUGGGUGUAAAGGGUGCGUAGGCGGCUUUGCAAGUCAGAUGUGAAAUCUAUGGGCUCAACCCAUAAACUGCAUUUGAAACUGUAGAGCUUGAGUGAAGUAGAGGCAGGCGGAAUUCCCCGUGUAGCGGUGAAAUGCGUAGAGAUGGGGAGGAACACCAGUGGCGAAGGCGGCCUGCUGGGCUUUAACUG
Molecule: ribosomal RNA, 716 nt
Filed under: uncultured Lachnospiraceae bacterium
Lineage: Bacteria; Bacillati; Bacillota; Clostridia; Lachnospirales; Lachnospiraceae
Description: bacterial SSU rRNA
Rfam family: Bacterial small subunit ribosomal RNA
Source: RNAcentral